CCCAGAUCCUUCUCUACCAGUGACUCUGCCAGUUUAAUCCCCCCUAAAACAUACGACGCAUGCAGGUUAUUAGUACCCAGAUGCAUAACUUUACAUUUAUCCACAUUGAACCACAUUGAACUAUAAUGAUCCAAGAAUUGGGAAUACACAUUGGUGCAAGUGCCAAAAUUGCAAAAUUAUGCCAACAAGAGAUGAGAGCAUCUGCUGCCAGGAGGAGGAUAUUCUUAAUCCCCACUUUGAUAAAGGACUAACUUGUAUUCUACAACACGAGGAGUUAUCCAUCCACUGAACUUUUUUCUUUAAAUCUCAAGUUGACUAAGUGCCAAAGAAUUGUUAAAAAAUCGCAAUAGGGUUAUUCGCAAGUCCGCUUAUAGAUCCUACUCUUGUUUUGCGCAUGGAAUCCUUGGGCCUAAACGACGAAAGCCAAUACCAUCAUGUGUUGUCAAUUUUAUUAGGUCUGAAUUUCCAGAUCCUGAUGGGCAAUAUAUUGGAUUCCACUGGCCUGAUGAAUACCCAGCAAGUGACAUGGCUGCUGAUGUUUGAUUCACUGUGACACUUACUUUCUGCACUUUUCAUGUUACUACAGUUUUACAUUGCACUUUUAUUGUUUACAAUUUUUUUAUGUUUAUUUAUCUUGUUAUUUAUAUUAUAUUAAUUAGUUAUUUACAUUUUUAUGGUGGUUAUUUUAUUUUGUUUAUUUUAAUCUGUCUACACCAGUCAUUUCCUAAACGUGGUCCCUCGGCACACUGCUAUUCCAUUUGACACUUGCCAUUGUUGGAGUUUAUUUUUCCGUUGAUUUUUUUAUUUCCAGCCCUGGCAUGCUCGCUGAUGACUGACGGCGCAGGGUGGAAGGGAAGCCUGCGUGCGAACUGCGCACAGUGUCCCACUCCCCCUUGCGGCCCAGUGAGGCAAAAAUGGAGCCAUGGUGAAGAAGCUGUAAUACCUACGGUGCCACCGUCACUGCGGUGUCACCCAGGUCACCCUCUACCCACCCCAACUGUCAACCCUCCCCCCCGUCCACACCCGUGUCACCAUGUUCAUCCUCCUGUCCUCACUGUCACACAUGUUCCCCCUCCCCGUCAAUCAUGUCUACCCCCUAUUCACAUCUGUCACCCAUGUACACUCCUCUACACCCCUGUUACCCAAUUACACCCCUCUGUUACCCAUGUACACUCCUCUACACCCCUCUAUAAACCAUGUACACUCCUCUACACCCC
This is a long non-coding RNA of Hyla sarda, 1217 nucleotides long. RefSeq lists it as uncharacterized. The record is from RefSeq and is a predicted model, not a curated record. Lineage: Eukaryota; Metazoa; Chordata; Amphibia; Anura; Hylidae. The transcript has 2 exons.